Molecule: ribosomal RNA, 387 nt
Filed under: uncultured bacterium
Lineage: Bacteria
Description: bacterial SSU rRNA
Rfam family: Bacterial small subunit ribosomal RNA
Source: RNAcentral
AUUGAACGCUGGCGGCAUGCCUUACACAUGCAAGUCGAACGGCAGCACGGGGGCAACCCUGGUGGCGAGUGGCGAACGGGUGGGUAAUACAUCGGAACGUGCCCGGUAGUGGGGGAUAGCUCGGCGAAAGCCGGAUUAAUACCGCACACGACCUGCGGGUGAAAGCGGGGGAUCGCAAGACCUCGCGCUAUCGGAGCGGCCGAUGUCAGAUUAGGUUGUUGGUGGGGUAAAGGCCUACCAAGCCGACGAUCUGUAGCUGGUCUGAGAGGACGACCAGCCACACUGGGACUGAGACACGGCCCAGACUCCUACGGGAGGCAGCAGUGGGGAAUUUUGGACAAUGGGCGCAAGCCUGAUCCAGCCAUGCCGCGUGCGGGAAGAAGGCCU